Molecule: ribosomal RNA, 929 nt
Filed under: uncultured archaeon
Lineage: Archaea
Description: partial 16S ribosomal RNA
Rfam family: Archaeal small subunit ribosomal RNA
Source: RNAcentral
AAAGAUUCCGGUUGAUCCUGCCGGACCUGACUGCUAUCGGUAUGGGAUUAAGCCAUGCGAGUCUGACGUCUUCCGGCUGUGGAAGGCGUGGCACACGGCUCAGUAACACGUAGUCAACCUACCUUGAAGACAUGGACAAUCCCGGGAAACUGGGGCUAAUCCGUGAUAGACUUAGGGUUCUGGAAUGGCCUUAAAUCUAAAUGGUCGGACGAACAUGCUUGUUCGAUUGCUUCAAGACGGGACUGCGGCCGAUCAGGUAGUUGGUGGGGUAGUGGCCCACCAAGCCGAUAACCGGUGCGGGCUCUGAGAGGAGGAGCCCGGAGAUGGACACUGAGACAAGGGUCCAGGCCCUACGGGGCGCAGCAGGCGCGAAACCUUUACACUGCACGAAAGUGCGAUAAGGCUAUACCGAGUGCCACCCGCUGAGGGUGGCUUUUCCUAGGUCUAAAUAGCCUAGGGAAUAAGGGGAGGGCAAGCCUGGUGUCAGCCGCCGCAGUAAUACCAGCUCCCCGAGUGGUCAGGACGAUUAUUGGGCCUAAAGCAUCCGUAGCCGGCUUCGUAGGUCUUUUGUUAAAUCCAACGGCCCAACCGUUGGAAUGCAGGGGAUACCGCGGAGCUAGGGGGCGGGAGAGGCGGACGGUACUCCAUAGGUAGGGGUAAAAUCCUUUGAUCUGUGGAAGACCACCAGUGGCGAAGGCGGUCCGCUAGAACGCGCCCGACGGUGAGGGAUGAAAGCUGGGGGAGCGAACCGGAUUAGAUACCCGGGUAGUCCCAGCUGUAAACGAUGCAGGCUAGGUGAUAGGGAGGCUACGCGCCUCCCUAGUGCCGCAGGGAAGCCGAUAAGCCUGCCGCCUGGGGAGUACGACCGCAAGGUUGAAACUUAAAGGAAUUGGCGGGGGAGCACUACAACGGGUGGAGCCUGCGGUUCA